UAAUACGUAGGGAGCAAGCGUUGUCCGGAAUCAUUGGGCGUAAAGCGCGCGUAGGUGGCCUCAUAAGUCCGCUGUGAAAGUCAAAGGCUCAACCUUUGAAAGCCGGUGGAUACUGUGAGGCUAGAGUACGGAAGAGGCGAGUGGAAUUCCUGGUGUAGCGGUGGAAUGCGCAGAUAUCAGGAGGAACACCAAUAGCGAAGGCAGCUCGCUGGGACGUUACUGACACUGAGGCGCGAAAGCGUGGGGAGCGAACAGGAUUAGAUACCCUGGUAGUCCACGCCGUAAACGAUGGGUACUAGGUGUGGGAGGUGUCGACUCCUCCCGUGCCGUCGCUAACGCACUAAGUACCCCGCCUGGGGAGUACGGCCGCAAGGCUA
RNAcentral lists this ribosomal RNA (377 nucleotides) under uncultured bacterium. RNAcentral's name for it is "bacterial SSU rRNA". It matches the Rfam family "Bacterial small subunit ribosomal RNA", at positions 521 to 896 of the family's 1533-position model. The record is from RNAcentral.